RNAcentral lists this transfer RNA (76 nucleotides) under Bacteroidales bacterium. RNAcentral's name for it is "tRNA-Gly". It matches the Rfam family "tRNA". Rfam says of the family: Transfer RNA (tRNA) molecules are approximately 80 nucleotides in length. The record is from RNAcentral. RNAcentral also lists the same sequence under 2 other names. Lineage: Bacteria; Pseudomonadati; Bacteroidota; Bacteroidia; Bacteroidales.
GCGGAAGUAGCUCAGUUGGUAGAGCACAACCUUGCCAAGGUUGGGGUCGCGAGUUCGAGUCUCGUUUUCCGCUCCA